CGGUUGAUCCCGCCGGACCUGACUGCUAUCGGAUUGAUACUAAGCCAUGCGAGUCAUUGUAGCAAUACAAGGCAGACGGCUCAGUAACGCGUAGUCAACCUAACCUAUGGACGGGAAUAACCUCGGGAAACUGAGAAUAAUGCCCGAUAGAACACUAUAUCUGGAAUGGUUUGUGUUCCAAAUGAUUUAUCGCCGUAGGAUGGGACUGCGGCCUAUCAGUUUGUUGGUGAGGUAAUGGCCCACCAAGACUAUUACAGGUACGGGCUCUGAGAGGGGUAGCCCGGAGAUGGGUACUGAGACACGGACCCAGGCCCUAUGGGGCGCAGCAGGCGAGAAAACUUUGCAAUGUGCGAAAGCACGACAAGGUUAAUCCGAGUGGUUUGUGCUAAACGAACCUUUUGUCGGUCCUAGAAACACCGAUGAAUAAGGGGUGGGCAAGUUCUGGUGUCAGCCGCCGCGGUAAAACCAGCACCUCAAGUGGUCAGGAUGAUUAUUGGGCCUAAAGCAUCCGUAGCCGGCGCUGUAAGUUUUCGGUUAAAUCUGUACGCUCAACGUACAGGCUGCCGGGAAUACUGCAGCGCUAGGGAGUGGGAGAGGUAGACGGUACUCGGUAGGAAGGGGUAAAAUCCUUUGAUCUAUUGAUGACCACCUGUGGCGAAGGCGGUCUACCAGAACACGUCCGACGGUGAGGGAUGAAAGCUGGGGGAGCAAACCGGAUUAGAUACCCGGGUAGUCCCAGCUGUAAACUAUGCAAACUCAGUGAUGCAUUGGCUUGUGGCCAAUGCAGUGCUGCAGGGAAGCCGUUAAGUUUGCCGCCUGGGAAGUACGUACGCAAGUAUGAAACUUAAAGGAAUUGGCGGGGGAGCACCACAAGGGGUGAAGCCUGCGGUUCAAUUGGAGUCAACGCCGGGAAUC
This 915-nucleotide ribosomal RNA is filed under the name uncultured archaeon. Its description in RNAcentral is "bacterial SSU rRNA". It matches the Rfam family "Archaeal small subunit ribosomal RNA", at positions 5 to 926 of the family's 1478-position model. The record is from RNAcentral.